GCCGCCGUCGCGCACCAGCCAUGGCGCAAAUCCUCCCUAUUCGCUUUCAGGAGCACUUCCAGCUCCAAAACCUUGGAAUUAAUCCAGCUAACGUUGGAUUCAGCACACUGACCAUGGAAUCUGACAAGUUCAUAUGUAUCCGAGAGAAAGUUGGUGAGCAGGCACAGGUCACGAUCAUUGACAUGAGUGACCCAAUGGCUCCGAUCCGACGGCCUAUCUCUGCAGAGAGUGCCAUCAUGAAUCCAGCCUCUAAGGUGAUAGCUCUGAAAGCUGGGAAGACACUUCAGAUCUUUAAUAUUGAGAUGAAGAGUAAAAUGAAGGCUCAUACUAUGGCAGAAGAGGUGAUUUUCUGGAAAUGGGUUUCUGUGAACACUGUUGCCUUGGUGACCGAGACCGCGGUCUACCACUGGAGCAUGGAAGGUGACUCCCAGCCCAUGAAGAUGUUUGACAGACAUACCAGUCUGGCGGGCUGCCAGGUGAUUCACUACCGGACUGAUGAGUACCAGAAGUGGCUGCUCCUCGUAGGCAUCUCGGCUCAGCAAAACCGUGUGGUUGGAGCAAUGCAGCUCUACUCUGUGGAUAGGAAGGUUUCACAACCCAUAGAAGGCCAUGCCGCGGCUUUUGCAGAGUUCAAGAUGGAGGGGAAUGCCAAGCCUGCCACCCUUUUCUGCUUUGCUGUACGUAAUCCCACAGGAGGCAAGUUGCACAUCAUUGAAGUUGGACAGCCUGCAGCGGGAAACCAACCUUUUGUAAGGAAAGCAGUAGAUGUGUUUUUUCCUCCAGAGGCACAGAAUGAUUUUCCAGUGGCUAUGCAGAUUGGAGCUAAACAUGGUGUUAUUUACUUGAUCACAAAGUAUGGCUAUCUUCAUCUGUAUGACCUAGAGUCUGGCGUGUGCAUCUACAUGAACCGUAUUAGUGCUGACACAAUAUUUGUCACUGCUCCACACAAACCAACCUCUGGAAUUAUUGGUGUCAACAAAAAGGGACAGGUGCUGUCAGUUUGUGUUGAGGAAGAUAACAUUGUGAAUUAUGCAACCAACGUGCUUCAGAAUCCAGACCUUGGUCUGCGUUUGGCCGUUCGUAGUAACCUGGCUGGGGCAGAGAAGUUGUUUGUGAGAAAAUUCAAUACCCUCUUUGCACAGGGCAGCUAUGCUGAAGCCGCCAAAGUUGCAGCGUCUGCACCAAAGGGAAUCCUGCGUACCAGAGAGACGGUCCAGAAAUUCCAGAGUAUACCCGCUCAGUCUGGCCAGGCUUCUCCAUUGCUGCAGUACUUUGGAAUCCUGCUCGACCAGGGUCAGCUCAAUAAACUUGAAUCCUUAGAACUUUGCCACCUGGUUCUUCAGCAGGGGCGUAAGCAACUCCUAGAGAAGUGGCUGAAAGAAGAUAAGCUGGAGUGCUCAGAGGAGCUCGGAGACUUGGUCAAAACCACUGACCCCAUGCUCGCUCUGAGUGUGUACCUUCGGGCAAACGUGCCAAGCAAAGUGAUCCAGUGUUUUGCAGAAACAGGCCAAUUCCAGAAAAUUGUGCUCUAUGCCAAAAAGGUUGGGUACACCCCAGACUGGAUCUUUCUGCUGAGGGAUGUAAUGAAGAUCAGUCCGGAACAGGGCCUGCAGUUUUCUCAAAUGCUAGUGCAGGACGAGGAGCCGCUGGCCAACAUUAGCCAGAUUGUGGACAUUUUCAUGGAAAACAGUUUAAUUCAGCAGUGUACUUCCUUCUUAUUGGAUGCCUUGAAGAAUAAUCGCCCAACUGAGGGACUCCUCCAGACAUGGCUGUUGGAGAUGAACCUUGUUCAUGCACCCCAGGUUGCAGAUGCCAUCCUUGGAAAUAAAAUGUUUACUCAUUACGACCGGGCCCACAUUGCCCAGCUCUGUGAGAAGGCAGGCCUCCUGCAGCAAGCACUGGAGCACUACACUGACCUCUAUGACAUCAAGAGGGCUGUGGUCCACACUCACCUCCUCAAUCCCGAGUGGCUUGUCAAUUUCUUUGGCUCCUUAUCGGUGGAGGAUUCUGUGGAGUGUCUGCAUGCCAUGCUGUCUGCUAACAUCAGACAGAACCUUCAGCUGUGUGUGCAGGUGGCCUCUAAGUACCAUGAGCAGCUGGGCACGCAGGCCCUGGUGGAGCUCUUUGAAUCCUUCAAGAGUUAUGAAGGCCUCUUCUACUUCCUGGGCUCAAUUGUGAACUUCAGCCAAGACCCAGAUGUGCAUCUGAAAUACAUUCAGGCUGCCUGUAAGACAGGGCAGAUCAAGGAGGUGGAGAGGAUAUGCCGAGAGAGCAGCUGCUACAACCCAGAGCGUGUGAAGAACUUCCUGAAGGAGGCCAAGCUCACAGACCAGCUUCCCCUCAUCAUCGUGUGUGAUCGUUUUGGCUUUGUCCAUGACCUUGUCCUGUAUUUAUACCGCAACAACCUGCAGAGGUACAUUGAGAUCUACGUGCAGAAGGUCAACCCUAGCCGGACCCCAGCUGUGACUGGAGGGCUGCUUGAUGUGGAUUGCUCUGAGGAAGUGAUUAAACACUUAAUCAUGGCAGUGAGAGGACAGUUCUCUACUGAUGAGUUGGUGGCUGAAGUAGAAAAAAGAAAUAGGCUCAAGCUGCUGCUUCCCUGGCUGGAGUCCCGGAUUCAGGAAGGCUGUGAGGAGCCUGCCACUCAUAAUGCACUGGCUAAAAUCUACAUCGACAGCAACAACAGCCCCGAGUGCUUCCUGAGACAGAAUGCCUACUAUGACAGCAGCGUGGUGGGCCGCUACUGUGAGAAACGAGACCCCCAUCUGGCCUGUGUCGCCUAUGAGCGGGGGCAGUGUGACCUUGAGCUCCUCAAGGUGUGCAAUGAGAAUUCUCUGUUCAAAAGCGAGGCCCGCUACCUGGUACGCAGAAAGGAUCCGGAGCUCUGGGCUUACGUCCUUGAGGAGACCAACCCAUCUAGGAGACAGCUAAUUGACCAGGUGGUACAGACAGCAUUGUCAGAAACACGAGAUCCUGAAGAGAUUUCGGUCACUGUCAAAGCCUUUAUGACAGCCGACCUGCCUAAUGAACUGAUUGAACUGCUGGAGAAGAUAGUUCUGGAUAACUCUGUCUUCAGCGAGCACAGGAAUCUACAGAAUCUGUUGAUCCUGACUGCCAUCAAGGCAGACUGCACACGGGUCAUGGAGUACAUCAGCCGCCUGGACAACUAUGACGCACUGGACAUCGCGAGCAUCGCUGUCAGCAGCACGCUGUAUGAGGAGGCCUUCACCGUCUUCCACAAGUUUGAUAUGAAUGCCUCAGCAAUCCAGGUCCUGAUCGAGCACAUUGGAAACCUGGACCGGGCAUAUGAGUUUGCGGAGAGAUGCAAUGAGCCUGCUGUGUGGAGUCAGCUGGCCCAAGCCCAGCUCCAGAAAGAUUUGGUGAAGGAAGCCAUCGACUCCUAUGUCAGAGGGGACGACCCUUCCUCUUACCUGGAAGUUGUUCAGGCAGCCAGCAGGAGCAACAACUGGGAGGAUCUAGUUAAAUUUCUGCAGAUGGCCAGGAAAAAGGGCCGUGAGUCCUAUAUAGAGACUGAACUUAUUUUUGCCUUGGCUAAAACCAGCCGUCUUUCUGAGCUAGAAGAUUUUAUUAAUGGACCCAACAAUGCCCACAUCCAGCAGGUUGGAGACCGCUGUUACGAGGAGGGAAUGUACGAGGCUGCCAAGCUGCUCUAUAGCAAUGUUUCUAACUUUGCCCGCCUGGCUUCCACCUUGGUUCACCUCGGUGAGUAUCAGGCAGCAGUGGACAACAGCCGCAAGGCCAGCAGCACCCGGACGUGGAAGGAGGUGUGCUUUGCCUGCGUGGAUGGACAGGAGUUCCGCUUUGCACAGCUGUGUGGUCUUCACAUCGUCAUUCAUGCAGAUGAGCUGGAGGAGCUGAUGUGCUAUUACCAGGAUCGUGGCUACUUUGAGGAGCUGAUCUCGCUGUUGGAGGUGACCCUGGGCCUGGAGCGGGCCCAUAUGGGCAUGUUCACAGAGCUGGCCAUCCUCUACUCCAAAUUCAAGCCACAGAAGAUGCUGGAGCAUCUGGAGCUUUUCUGGUCCCGUGUCAACAUCCCAAAGGUACCGUGUGCUCCUUGCAGUCUGGCAGCUGUGGCCACGUGCAGCACAAGCCGACCCUGGCCUCUUUUUCCAGGUGCUGAGGGCUGCAGAGCAGGCACACCUGUGGGCUGAGCUGGUGUUCCUCUAUGACAAGUACAAGGAGUACGACAAUGCUGUGCUCACCAUGAUGAGCCACCCCACUGAGGCUUGGAAGGAGGGUCAGUUCAAGGACAUCAUUACCAAGGUUGCCAACGUCGAGCUCUGUUACAGAGCCCUGCAGUUCUAUUUGGAUUACAAACCACUGCUCAUCAAUGACCUGCUGCUGGUGCUGUCACCCCGGCUGGACCACACCCGGACAGUCAGUUUCUUUUCAAAGGCAGGUCAGCUGCCCCUGGUGAAGCCUUACCUGCGGUCAGUCCAGAGCCACAACAACAAGAGUGUGAAUGAGGCACUCAACCACCUGCUGACAGAGGAGGAGGACUAUCAGGGCUUAAGGGCAUCUAUCGAUGCCUAUGACAACUUUGACAACAUCAGCCUGGCUCAGCGGCUGGAGAAGCAUCAGCUGAUGGAGUUCAGGCGCAUUGCGGCCUAUUUGUACAAGGGCAAUAACUGGUGGGCCCAGAGCGUGGAGCUCUGCAAGAAGGAUCAUCUCUACAAGGAUGCCAUGCAGCAUGCCGCAGAGUCGCGGGAUGCCGAGCUGGCCCAGAAGUUGCUGCAGUGGUUCCUGGAGGAAGGCAAGAGGGAGUGCUUCGCAGCCUGUCUCUUCACCUGCUAUGACCUGCUUCGCCCAGACAUGGUGCUUGAGCUGGCUUGGAGGCACAACCUCGUGGACUUGGCCAUGCCCUACUUCAUUCAGGUGAUGAGGGAGUACCUGAGCAAGGUGGACAAACUGGAUGCCUUGGAGAGUCUGCGCAAGCAAGAGGAGCAUGUGACAGAGCCUGCCCCUCUCAUGUU
This 4994-nucleotide small RNA is filed under the name Pongo abelii (Sumatran orangutan). Its description in RNAcentral is "retained intron". The record is from RNAcentral. Lineage: Eukaryota; Metazoa; Chordata; Mammalia; Primates; Hominidae.